CCCUUAGAUGUUCUGGGCCGCACGCGCGCUACACUGAUGCAUUCAACGAGUUUCUUCCUGGUCCGAGAGGAAUGGGUAACCUUUUGAAAGUGCAUCGUGAUAGGGAUAGACUAUUGCAAUUAUUGGUCUUCAACGAGGAAUUCCUAGUAGACGUAGUUCAUCAGACUGCAUGGAUUACGUCCCUGCCCUUUGUACACACCGCCCGUCGCUCCUACCGAUUGGACGCUGCGGUGAAGACCUGGGAUUGAGAGGGGGGGUUUGGAGGUUUUCGGAUUUCCAGCCCCUCGUCCCGAGAACUCGUCUGAACCCCAUCGUCUAGAGGAAGAAGAAGUCGUAACA
Molecule: ribosomal RNA, 339 nt
Filed under: uncultured eukaryote
Lineage: Eukaryota
Description: partial 18S ribosomal RNA
Rfam family: Eukaryotic small subunit ribosomal RNA
Source: RNAcentral